RNAcentral lists this ribosomal RNA (497 nucleotides) under uncultured bacterium. Its description in RNAcentral is "bacterial SSU rRNA". It matches the Rfam family "Bacterial small subunit ribosomal RNA", at positions 32 to 507 of the family's 1533-position model. The record is from RNAcentral.
ACAACGCUGGCGGCGUGCCUAACACAUGCAAGUCGAGCGGUCCGGCAUUUAACAUUGAGUAUUCAGAUGAAUCUGAGUAUUGAAUGUUAAAUGUCGGAUAGCGGCGGACGGGUGAGUAACGCGUGGGUAACCUGCCUUAUACAGGGGGAUAACACAGGGAAACUUGUGCUAAUACCGCAUAAUAUCAUUGUAUGGCAUCAUAUGGUGAUCAAAGGAGCAAUCCGGUAUAAGAUGGACCCGCGUCCAAUUAGCUAGUUGGUGGUGUAACGGACCACCAAGGCGACGAUUGGUAGCCGAACUGAGAGGUUGAUCGGCCACAUUGGGACUGAGACACGGCCCAGACUCCUACGGGAGGCAGCAGUGGGGAAUAUUGCACAAUGGGGGAAACCCUGAUGCAGCAACGCCGCGUGAAGGAUGAAGGUUUUCGGAUCGUAAACUUCUUUGAUGAGGGACGAAUAAUGACGGUACCUCAAGAACAAGCCACGGCUAACUACGUG